UACAGAGGGUGCUAGCGUUGUUCGGAAUCAUUGGGCGUAAAGGGCGUGUAGGCGGUUUGUUAAGUCAUGUGUGAAAUCCCUCGGCUCAACCGGGGAACGACGCAUGAAACUGGCAAGCUAGAGUACCAAAGAGGGGGGUGGAAUUCCCGGUGUAGCGGUGAAAUGCGUAGAGAUCGUAAGGAAGACCAGUGGCGAAGGCGGGUCUCUGGACAGUUCCUGACACUGAGGCACGAAGGCCAGGGGAGCAAACGGGG
RNAcentral lists this ribosomal RNA (254 nucleotides) under uncultured bacterium. RNAcentral's name for it is "partial 16S ribosomal RNA". It matches the Rfam family "Bacterial small subunit ribosomal RNA", at positions 524 to 777 of the family's 1533-position model. The record is from RNAcentral.